RNAcentral lists this ribosomal RNA (264 nucleotides) under Blautia wexlerae. RNAcentral's name for it is "partial 16S ribosomal RNA". It matches the Rfam family "Bacterial small subunit ribosomal RNA", at positions 1 to 246 of the family's 1533-position model. RNAcentral also lists the same sequence under 1 other name. Lineage: Bacteria; Bacillati; Bacillota; Clostridia; Lachnospirales; Lachnospiraceae. The record is from RNAcentral.
UUUUAUCAGAGAGUUUGAUCCUGGCUCAGGAUGAACGCUGGCGGCGUGCUUAACACAUGCAAGUCGAACGGGAAUUACUUUAUUGAAACUUCGGUCGAUUUAAUUUAAUUCUAGUGGCGGACGGGUGAGUAACGCGUGGGUAACCUGCCUUAUACAGGGGGAUAACAGUCAGAAAUGGCUGCUAAUACCGCAUAAGCGCACAGAGCUGCAUGGCUCAGUGUGAAAAACUCCGGUGGUAUAAGAUGGACCCGCGUUGGAUUAGCU